Molecule: ribosomal RNA, 121 nt
Filed under: Enterocytozoon bieneusi H348
Lineage: Eukaryota; Fungi; Microsporidia; Enterocytozoonidae
Source: RNAcentral
UUUCUUGACGACCAUAGAGCAUUGGAACCACCUGAUCCCAUCCCGAACUCAGCAGUGAAACGAUGCAUCGCCGAUGGUAGUGUGGGGUUUCCCCAUGUGAGAGUAGGUCAUCGUCAAGAUU